AACCUUUUCACCAUGAUUCCGAGGCCACAAGCUCAGGUUUGAGCUGGAGAGAAGACUGAGAAGAAACGAGAGAUUGAAGAGAUUCAAAGAAGCCAUUUUGAUGGUUUUUUUUUGUGAGAAAGGGUGGGAUUGAAGUGAUUAAAAGCAGCCAGUUUAAUGGUUAUGGGACAAAAUCUGAUUCAGUGGCCUGCAUUACGACACGAAGAAGAUAAAAUUAUCAGGAAUUACACCGCAUAAUGCCAAGAAUAUUUAAGGUCUUGAAAAAAAAUUGAACCCCAAUCGAUUCUCACCGUCCUUCUAUAUAGCAUCGUAGGAAAGGGAAAUCGCGAGAUAUAUAUCAACAAGUUAGGAAAUAGAGUUUGUCUGUUUGCA
RNAcentral lists this long non-coding RNA (372 nucleotides) under Olea europaea subsp. europaea. Lineage: Eukaryota; Viridiplantae; Streptophyta; Magnoliopsida; Lamiales; Oleaceae. The record is from RNAcentral.